Molecule: long non-coding RNA, 2098 nt
Organism: Amphiprion ocellaris (clown anemonefish)
Lineage: Eukaryota; Metazoa; Chordata; Actinopteri; Pomacentridae
Exons: 3
Source: RefSeq, a predicted model, not a curated record
AUUGAAAUACAAGACGUUUUGCCUUUUCAUGAUCAAAAAGGGAUAUACGAUUUUUUAAAAUGGUUUGAUUUUCAUUUUAUGUUUAGAAUAACACAAAAGUAAAAUCAGUAAGAGACAGAAAUGAAGAAAGGUCCGUUUUUUCAGACCGGAAGUGGUCAUUAGCAAGUAUGGAGCCAAACAGGGUACGGUGCAUAGACUGUAUAUAUGUAUAUAUAUUUAUAAAAUAAAUCAAUACUGAAUUUUUUUUAGAGCGUUAAAGUUUUGCGGAGCCAGGGGGCGGGGUUACUUGAUUGACAGUCCGGUCUGGAAUGAUUGACAGGUCCUAUGGAGGAAGCAGCAGAGACUCUGCUCUCCUCGUUUGGAUUAAUUCUGAUAUAAUAACUGUUGGUUUAUUUAUCGGUGGCGCAGCAGAACAUUUUCCACAGACAGUUUUCCUGCCCGUUGGCUUGUUUUAACCAGUUUUCUACCUUCGGCUGAUUCUACCAGCAGACACUGAAAGGACUCUGAUAGUUCGAGUGAAAGCAGCAGUUCCUCCUUAAGGUCAGAGAUUGCAGCAUCUGAGGGCCUCUUCAAAAGAAGACGUAGUUGAUGAAGGCGUUCUGGAGCAGGACCAGAAAGACCACGACCAAGCAGCCUUGAGAUCUUAGGCAGCGUCUCCCUCAGGUCCCUCUCUAUCUCCCCACACAUCCACCAAGCACUGGAACACAUCUCCAAAGUUCUGCCGGGCCAGCUCAGCUUCCCCUCAGAAGAAGUUCCACCAGAUGAAGGAGCCUUUUGAGAGGCAGCUGGCAUCGUGAUUGGACUGUACUUUGGUCUGUUCCAAUCCAGCUUCAGCUCCAGAGACGGCAGGCGGGACGAGUCAACGGAGGCCGGGUGGACGAAGGCAUGCAGCUGAGUACAAUCCAGAAAAAAACAGAGGAGGAGUGCAGCGGCCAGAACACACAGAGUAUGUCUCUUAGAAAACAUCAUAGUAUAGCCUUUGCUAUGAAAAAAUGCCAUCAUAUACAUCGUAUAUUGUACAAAUAACAAAUGGAAGGAAAGAGACAUACAUUGUAGAAUUGUAGUAAUUGUGGGCUGACUGAUUUACUGAUUAUCAGUAUUUUAUUUUUUACUGAUUUACGGUAAUAAAUACAUUUAAAAAUGGCGCUACUUUGGCUCUGAACCUUUAUCUACCUGUGGUCGCUCUGUCUUCUGGAGUGAUUUGAUUGGUUAUAUGUCACGAAUAAAACUCCUUUAACUUAACAUCUGUAAACAAAACAAAAACGUAUCAACAAAGUUUUCUGUUAGAGUUUGUGUUCUUCUAAGUUUAACUCCAAGAUUUUAAAUACUUUCAUUUACUGCAAAUGAAUAUCUACUCCAAAUGUCUCACUAAUAAUCAUUAUUAGCCUUAAAAACACACAGAACACCCCUCUAUACUCGACCACGCUUAGUAUAGUCCGAUUCCCCCUUCUAUAAAUCUGCUUGGAAUCUUCCACUUCCUGUUUGUCAAAGUGGCCUUCGACCUGGACAGGUUUUGUUGGAGCUCAUGCAACAAACAUUUUGGGUAACUGCACUUUAAUAUGGAUGGAUGACACUGAAUUAGAGUCUGUUUUAAUGAGACUGAGUUAAGAUGUGUAGCUCUGUCAUUAAAUAGGAAAUUAUUUCUCAGAAUUCACAGAGAAAAGUCUGAAAUGUUUGCUAGGUUAGCGUCCCACAUGUUCUUUGGCUCAGCUAAAGCUAACUCUCUCCAACUUCUGGAUCUCUUGAGUUGCUUGUUGUUAAAAUAUCUUGCUGUAGGUGCUGAAGCUCAGAAAGUCUGAGAUGUUUGUUCAAAAUAAGCUCAUUCUCAAGUCUUAUCUGAACUGUCCUCUUUUGUUUGAACUUUCCCUAAACUUAGGAGUUAAUGACAGAGCAGCACAUCCAGACUGAGUCUCAUUUAUGUAGAGAUUAAACUUCAGUGUCAUUCAUUGAUGUUAAAGUGCAGUUUUUCAAAUGUUUGUUGCACAUGCUCCCGACCAAACCAGUCCAGGUGGAAGACGAUGUGAAGAGAAAGCUCCAGAGGAUGAAUAUCACACAUUUACGUUGGAAAUAAAUGUCCUUUAAUUAGACAUUGUCAUGC